Molecule: long non-coding RNA, 303 nt
Filed under: Prunus persica (peach)
Lineage: Eukaryota; Viridiplantae; Streptophyta; Magnoliopsida; Rosales; Rosaceae
Description: long non-coding RNA (PPER_LNC007142)
Source: RNAcentral
UGUCAUGAAAGCACUUUUGCACAUCUGUCAGGCUAAAAACAAUUGACGUCUCAGAGCAUACACACAUCAAAUAGGGUUACAAAAGCGACUUUUAAAAGUCAGAGCCGGCCCUGGCCCAGGGCUACCAGGGCCACAGCCCGGGGCCCAAAAAACAAUGGGGCACAAAUUUUUCUUAGUCUAUAUAUAUAUAUAUAUAUAUCUGAAAAAGGGCAACAAAAAAAUGUAAAAAUAUAAAAAAUAUAAAAAAAUAAAGAAGAAGAAACUAAAAGACGCUCAACAUUAAGUCAUGCGUUGGAAACCAAA